AAUCAACGCUGGCGGCGUGCCUAACACAUGCAAGUCGAACGCGAAAGCCCCGCAAGGGGUAAGUAGAGUGGCAAACGGGUGAGUAACACGUGGGUGACCUGCCCUCGAGUGGGGGAUAACGUCCCGAAAGGGACGCUAAUACCGCAUAAUAUGCCGCCUUUUAAGAGGUGGACAUCAAAGCUGGGGAUCGCAAGACCUAGCGCUUGAAGAGGGGCCCGCGCCUGAUUAGCUAGUUGGUGGGGUAANGGCUCACCAAGGCAACGAUCAGUAUCCGGCCUGAGAGGGCGGACGGACACACUGGGACUGAGACACGGCCAGACUCCUACGGGAGGCAGCAGUGGGGAAUUGUUCGCAAUGGGCGCAAGCCUGACGACGCAACGCCGCGUGGAGGAUGAAG
This 397-nucleotide ribosomal RNA is filed under the name uncultured bacterium. RNAcentral describes it as "bacterial SSU rRNA". It matches the Rfam family "Bacterial small subunit ribosomal RNA", at positions 29 to 413 of the family's 1533-position model. The record is from RNAcentral.